CCUACGGGAGGCAGCAGUAGGGAAUCUUCCGCAAUGGACGAAAGUCUGACGGAGCAACGCCGCGUGAGUGAUGAAGGUUUUCGGAUCGUAAAACUCUGUUGUUAGGGAAGAACAAGUAUCGUUCGAAUAGGGCGGUACCUUGACGGUACCUAACCAGAAAGCCACGGCUAACUACGUGCCAGCAGCCGCGGUAAU
Molecule: ribosomal RNA, 195 nt
Filed under: uncultured bacterium
Lineage: Bacteria
Description: partial 16S ribosomal RNA
Rfam family: Bacterial small subunit ribosomal RNA
Source: RNAcentral